AAUGGAUUAGAAAGAAACAAUCUCAAAGUAUUUGAUGUCAAUGGAGUUAAUGAUAGAGUGAAUCUUCAAAGGGUAAAUAGCAUUCAGAUUUGAUCAACUUUCAGAGGCUUUAAAGUUGAGUGGCUUACUCUUUGUCUGAGGGGAACCACUAAC
Molecule: long non-coding RNA, 153 nt
Organism: Hibiscus syriacus
Lineage: Eukaryota; Viridiplantae; Streptophyta; Magnoliopsida; Malvales; Malvaceae
Exons: 3
Source: RefSeq, a predicted model, not a curated record